CCCUUAGACGCUCUGGGCCGCACGCGCGCUACACUGACGAAGGCAACGAGCUUUCCUUUACCGAAAGGUACGGGUAAUCUUUUGAAACUUCGUCGUGCUGGGGAUAGAUCCUUGCAAUUUUUGAUCUUAAACGAGGAAUGCCUAGUAAGCGCAAGUCAUCAACUUGCGUUGAUUACGUCCCUGCCCUUUGUACACACCGCCCGUCGCUACUACCGAUUGAAUGGUUUAGUGAGGCCUUCGGAUCCGCGACUCGUUUGUGGAGAAGUUGGACAAACUCAGUCAUUUAGAGGAAGUAAAAGUCGUAACA
Molecule: ribosomal RNA, 307 nt
Filed under: uncultured eukaryote
Lineage: Eukaryota
Description: partial 18S ribosomal RNA
Rfam family: Eukaryotic small subunit ribosomal RNA
Source: RNAcentral